Molecule: ribosomal RNA, 404 nt
Filed under: uncultured bacterium
Lineage: Bacteria
Also listed under: 1 other name
Description: bacterial SSU rRNA
Rfam family: Bacterial small subunit ribosomal RNA
Source: RNAcentral
UGGGGAAUCUUAGACAAUGGGCGCAAGCCUGAUCUAGCCAUGCCGCGUGGGUGAUGAAGGCCUUAGGGUCGUAAAGCCCUUUCGCCGGGGAAGAUAAUGACGGUACCCGGUAAAGAAACCCCGGCUAACUCCGUGCCAGCAGCCGCGGUAAUACGGAGGGGGUUAGCGUUGUUCGGAAUGACUGGGCGUAAAGCGCGCGUAGGCGGAUCAUCAAGUCGGGGGUGAAAUCCCGGGGCUCAACCCCGGAAUGGCCUUCGAGACUGGUGGUCUUGAGUUCGAGAGAGGUGAGUGGAAUUCCGAGUGUAGAGGUGAAAUUCGUAGAUAUUCGGAGGAACACCAGUGGCGAAGGCGGCUCACUGGCUCGACACUGACGCUGAGGUGCGAAAGCGUGGGGAGCAAACAGG